UGGACUUCGCUUUUCAGCAUCUAGCCAAACACAGGAUCAGGUUCCCUGACCUCUACUGUGACUGCUUCCUAGCCAGAGACUUGGCUCAGUGCAAGCAGGAGCAAGUCCAAACUCUCUUGAUGCAGAAAUAGCAGUGCUACAGCUACUGCAGGCUGAUUAAGACAAGAAGAGGAAAACAUGAACAAUCCAGUUAAUUGAUCUUUUGCAAACAUGAUCGGUGAAAUGAUGCAUUCUGAUGACGGCAAGAGCAACUUAACCAUUAACUUCAGAGAAGAAAACAUUUUAUCCAGUGCCUAUGAUGUCAGGUCAUGUGAAAGUUUCAUGAUAAAAUAA
RNAcentral lists this long non-coding RNA (333 nucleotides) under Chloebia gouldiae (Gouldian finch). RNAcentral's name for it is "Erythrura gouldiae (Gouldian finch) lncRNA (ENSEGOG00005005336.1)". The record is from RNAcentral. Lineage: Eukaryota; Metazoa; Chordata; Aves; Passeriformes; Passeridae.